GUGCUCCCUUCAGCAGCACAUAUACUACUACUGGAACAAUGCAGAGAAGAUUCGCAUGGCCCCUGCAUAAGGAUGACACACAAGCUUGUGAAGCGUUCCAUAUUAAA
Phacochoerus africanus (Common warthog) is the source of this 107-nucleotide small nuclear RNA. The record is from RefSeq and is a predicted model, not a curated record. NCBI's taxonomy places the organism in Eukaryota, Metazoa, Chordata, Mammalia, Artiodactyla, Suidae.